CAGCAGCCACGGGAAUACGUAGGGUGCGAGCGUUGUCCGGAAUUACUGGGCGUAAAGAGCUCGUAGGUGGUUUGUCGCGUCGUUUGUGGAAUACCGCAGCUUAACUGCGGGGUUGCAGGCGAUACGGGCAUAACUUGAGUGCUGUAGGGGAGACUGGAAUUCCUGGUGUAGCGGUGGAAUGCGCAGAUAUCAGGAGGAACACCGAUGGCGAAGGCAGGUCUCUGGGCAGUAACUGACGCUGAGGAGCGAAAGCAUGGGGAGCAAACAGGAUUAGAUACCCGAGUAGUCCCUGUCUCUUAUA
Molecule: ribosomal RNA, 301 nt
Filed under: uncultured bacterium
Lineage: Bacteria
Description: partial 16S ribosomal RNA
Rfam family: Bacterial small subunit ribosomal RNA
Source: RNAcentral